RNAcentral lists this non-coding RNA (48 nucleotides) under Schistosoma mansoni. The record is from RNAcentral. Lineage: Eukaryota; Metazoa; Platyhelminthes; Trematoda; Strigeidida; Schistosomatidae.
AUCCAGCUGACGAGUCCCAAAUAAGACGAAACGAACAUCAAGCUGGAU